AAGUCGAGGGGCAGCAUUUUAGUUUGCUUGCAAACUGAAGAUGGCGACCGGCGCACGGGUGAGUAACACGUAUCCCACCUGCCGAUAACUCCGGGAUAGCCUUUCGAAAGAAAGAUUAAUACCGGAUAGCAUACGAAUAUCGCAUGAUAUUUUUAUUAAAGAAUUUCGGUUAUCGAUGGGGAUGCGUUCCAUUAGUUUGUUGGCGGGGUAACGGCCCACCAAGACUACGAUGGAUAGGGGUUCUGAGAGGAAGGUCCCCCACAUUGGAACUGACACACGGUCCAAACUCCUACGGGAGGCAGCAGUGAGGAAUAUUGGUCAAUGGGCGCGAGCCUGAACCAGCCAAGUAGCGUGAAGGAUGAAGGCUCUAUGGGUCGUAAACUUCUUUUAUAUGGGAAUAAAGUUUUCCACGUGUGGAAUUUUGUAUGUACCAUAUGAAUAAGGGUCGGCUAACUCCGUGCCAGCAGCCGCGGUAAUACGGAGGAUCCGAGCGUUAUCCGGAUUUAUUGGGUUUAAAGGGAGCGUAAGCGGAUUGUUAAGUCAGUUGUGAAAGUUUGCGGCUCAACCGUAAAAUUGCAGUUGAAACUGGCAGUCUUGAGUACAGUAGAGGUGGGCGGAAUUCGUGGUGUAGCGGUGAAAUGCUUAGAUAUCACGAAGAACUCCGAUUGCGAAGGCAGCUCACUAGACUGUCACUGACACUGAUGCUCGAAAGUGUGGGUAUCAAACAGGAUUAGAUACCCUGGUAGUCCACACAGUAAACGAUGAAUACUCGCUGUUUGCGAUAUACAGUAAGCGGCCAAGCGAAAGCAUUAAGUAUUCCACCUGGGGAGUACGCCGGCAACGGUGAAACUCAAAGGAAUUGACGGGGGCCCGCACAAGCGGAGGAACAUGUGGUUUAAUUCGAUGAUACGCGAGGAACCUUACCCGGGCUUAAAUUGCAACAGAAUAUAUUGGAAACAGUAUAGCCGUAAGGCUGUUGUGAAGGUGCUGCAUGGUUGUCGUCAGCUCGUGCCGUGAGGUGUCGGCUUAAGUGCCAUAACGAGCGCAACCCUUAUCUUUAGUUACUAACAGGUCAUGCUGAGGACUCUAGAGAGACUGCCGUCGUAAGAUGUGAGGAAGGUGGGGAUGACGUCAAAUCAGCACGGCCCUUACGUCCGGGGCUACACACGUGUUACAAUGGGGGGUACAGAAGGCGGCUACCUGGUGACAGGAUGCUAAUCCCAAAAACCUCUCUCAGUUCGGAUCGAAGUCUGCAACCCGACUUCGUGAAGCUGGAUUCGCUAGUAAUCGCGCAUCAGCCAUGGCGCGGUGAAUACGUUCCCGGGCCUUGUACACACCGCCCGUCAAGCCAUGAAAGCCGGGGGUACCUGAAGUACGUAACCGCAAGGAGCGUCCUAGGGUAAGACUGGUAAUUGGGGCUAAGUC
RNAcentral lists this ribosomal RNA (1425 nucleotides) under uncultured organism. Its description in RNAcentral is "16S ribosomal RNA". It matches the Rfam family "Bacterial small subunit ribosomal RNA". The record is from RNAcentral.